This 2439-nucleotide long non-coding RNA is filed under the name Nilaparvata lugens (brown planthopper). RNAcentral describes it as "uncharacterized LOC111054868, transcript variant X1". Lineage: Eukaryota; Metazoa; Arthropoda; Insecta; Hemiptera; Delphacidae. The record is from RNAcentral.
CUCCUUUCCUAAUUCUGGUGUGAGGAUCUCCCCAGUCUUUGAAACAUGCAUAAACCAAAGGUUCUCGUUUUUGUAUCCAAAGUAUGAUGAUGCCCAUGAUAUCGAACUAAGCAGAUAAUUAGCUUCCUUCUUCAAAUACAUCAGUAGAGGGGUUCGAGUCUGGAAGCAAGAGUGCUGAUUUGGCUAAAAAUUGCUUCAAAACUGAUGAACAAAGCAGCUGACUAGAAUUCCGUCUCGAAAAGAAAUCACUGAUCACAAGCGUUUUACAGGUGUGGAGGGAAGCUGACGAGUGGAGCGUGACUCGUGUCGUAAGGAGGCGUGCUGCUUCUUCUAUCAUUUCUCUUCCUCUUGCAUCUUCUUCUUCUCCUCCUCCACCUCCUCCUCUUCUCCUCCUCCUACGCUUGUUCCUCUUCCUCUUCCCCUUCCUCCUCCUCUCCUCCUCCUACGCUUGUUCCUCUUCCUCUUCCUUCUCCUCUCCCUUAUCUUCUUCUAGUUGAUGAGACUCGUCGACCCAAAAAGACAUCAGACGUUGAAUAUACAUGGACAAUGGACAGAGCGGGCAGGAUCAAGGCAUGGCAAGGCAGAACAGGCGAAAUGAGAGCAGCGCGCCCGUUAUAAACGAGAAACAGCAACGAAAACUAAAACAAAGGAAUACUAUCGACGUGACAAGUAAACCGAACGACCAAUGAACACAGGAGAGGAACGAGUAGGAGAGGAAGAAAAAGGAGAAGAAAAAAGGUAAUCAGAUGCACGGCAUCGAAGUGAUUGUUGGGAGAGAGUCUAGACAACAUGCAAGGUGAAUGAGGGAGAGAAAUAGAAAAACAAUGAUGAAAUACCGGGAAUAAAGCUCAAUUGAGAAAUUUUGGAUGAAAUAAGAGGGAGCUUCGAGGAUAAAAAUUCAGCACAACAAUGAAAUGAAUUAAUAAUUAUGAAACGAAAAUCCAAUUUAAAUACUGUAGAUUUUCGUUCAGUAAUAAAAUUAUUAAUUCAUUAGCAUUGCAUAAAUGCAAUUUCUCAGUAAAAAUCAAGUUUUAUACAUUAAUUUGUUUGAAUACUGAAACAAAAGAAGAAGAGUAGAAUCAGAGAAAAACUGCCAAUUAAAGGUAAAACAGGAAGCAGAAGGAAGGAAAACAUACAUGAGAGGAGAAAGAAAAAUGAUUAGGAAAAAAGAAGACAAAAUAAGAUAACAAUUAAUGGCAAAAGGAGAAAAUGUUUGAGAAUAUGUGAGUUGUGCAAAAGUAGGUAUAGAGAAGGAUGGCAUGAAGAGAAAAAGUAGUAAGGAGGAGGAGAAUUAGGAGGGAAUUAGGAGGAAUAGGAGACGAAAGUGAGAAGGAUCAGGAAGAAGAAUGAGAAGAAGAAGAAGAAGAACAACAACAACAACAACAGCGAGGAACAGGAGAAUAUUUGACAGCUGGUGAAGAAGAAGAAGAAGAAGAAGAAGAAAAGAAGAAGAAGAAGAAAAAGGAGAAGAAGAAUGUAGCGACACGCAACACAACGCCUUGAAGCUGACUGUUGACCGAUUGCAAUCCAAUCUUCCUCUCUUGCCCUUCUUCUAGCGCCAUUAAUUUGUUUGCAGGGCGGCCCCGAUUUCCUGCUUAAUGCAUUCCCACAGGCACGAGGCAGAAGGCAGACGGCACCAGUACAACAUCCUACAGCUCUUGUUGGAACUCUAUUGUAGUGUUUGUACAUUCAUGCAGAUGAACGGAGUUUCCUGAAAAGAAAUGUUGAUGUAAUCCGUGAGGGAGUAUAUUUCCAGCCAAUAAUGAUCCAGGAGCUGGAGACAGAGAAGUAUAAAAUAGUUUAUGGUGUUGCUUUGUCAAUCAGAGUUAGUCAUGAUGAUUUUGUGACACUAUCCAUGCCUUCAUCAAAUCUGGCCGAUGAAUAUCAUUUCAAUUCUUGAUGAAUUAUGCCAAAAUCUCUUAGAAUUCAACUGAUUGAACUACAUCAAAUACAUAAACUUAUGUAUUGGACAUGAAUAGGUCAAAUAUUCAUACUGAUCUAGUUAUCACUGAUUUUUGAAGUGGAUUACUCACUAAUCACCAAUUGCCAUAUACGGCAUAGUACCGACUCCAGCUUAAUUUUUUAAACAUUUGCAUGCAGUAGUGUAAUUCAAGUUUGAAAUUUCAUAAAAUCUCAAUUCAUUGAAAAAGCAGUGAUUUCUAAAACAAAUGAUGGUUUUAAUACUGAUAAAGUUAUUUUGUAAAAAAUUAGCUGUCACUGUCAUAAAAUCUGGAGAUAUGUGUCACAUUAACAAUCAUUUAUUCAGAAUUAAUCUAUUAAGUAACUCAUUCUUACAAUAAUUUUCAUAUUUAUAAUAAUUCAUUGUCAAUGCAUAACAUAAUGCCUCUUGCUUUGUGAACAGUAUUUGGAAAGGUGAAAUAAUACUUUUGACGUUUUUUUCCAAAGCAUUACAUAAUAUUUAUAAUGAUGAACAUAAUU